This 462-nucleotide ribosomal RNA is filed under the name uncultured bacterium. Its description in RNAcentral is "bacterial SSU rRNA". It matches the Rfam family "Bacterial small subunit ribosomal RNA", at positions 28 to 479 of the family's 1533-position model. The record is from RNAcentral.
GAUGAACGCUAGCGGCAGGCUUAAUACAUGCAAGUCGAGGGGCAGCAGGACUGUAGCAAUACAGUUGUUGGCGACCGGCAAACGGGUGCGGAACACGUACGCAACCUACCCAUAACUGGGGGAAUAGCCCGGGGGAAACCCGGAUUAAUACCCCGUAACAUAAUGAGAUGGCAUCAUCUUAUUAUUAUAGCUCCGGCGGUUAUGGAUGGGCGUGCGCCUGAUUAGGUAGUUGGCGGAGUAAUAGCCCACCAAGCCUACGAUCAGUAACUGGUGUGAGAGCACGACCAGUCACACGGGCACUGAGACACGGGCCCGACUCCUACGGGAGGCAGCAGUAAGGAAUAUUGGUCAAUGGACGCAAGUCUGAACCAGCCAUGCCGCGUGAAGGAUGAAGGUCCUCUGGAUUGUAAACUUCUUUUAUAUGGGACGAAACCCUCGAUUUCCAUCGGGAUUGACGGUACC